UUAAUGAGAGUUUGAUCCUGGCUCAGGACGAACGCUGGCGGCGUGCCUAAUACAUGCAAGUAGAACGCUGAAGAGAGGAGCUUUCUCUUCUUGG
This 94-nucleotide ribosomal RNA is filed under the name Streptococcus thermophilus MTCC 5460. RNAcentral's name for it is "partial 16S ribosomal RNA". It matches the Rfam family "Bacterial small subunit ribosomal RNA", at positions 1 to 92 of the family's 1533-position model. Lineage: Bacteria; Bacillati; Bacillota; Bacilli; Lactobacillales; Streptococcaceae. The record is from RNAcentral.